Molecule: RNA transcript, 661 nt
Organism: Myotis davidii
Lineage: Eukaryota; Metazoa; Chordata; Mammalia; Chiroptera; Vespertilionidae
Gene name: EKC/KEOPS complex subunit TPRKB pseudogene
Exons: 1
Source: RefSeq, a predicted model, not a curated record
GCUGCCUCACCUGCACAACAGGGCGUCGGGCAGCAGCCACGAUCCUUUCCCUGUAAAGGCAACUACAGAGAGCUCAGCAGAAUCCUGCUUAUCUAUGAAGUGCAGUUAACACAUCAGCUGGACCUAUUUCCGGAAUGCAGGGUGACCCUUCUGUUAUUUAAAGAUGUAAAAAAUGCUGGAGACUUGAGAAAAAAGGCCAUGGAAGGUGCUAUUGAUAGUUCAUUGAUAAACCCUACAGUGAUUGUCGAUCCAUUUCAGAGACUUGUGGCAGCAAACAAAGCAGCUCAUCUCUACAAACUAGGAAAAAUGAAGACAAGAACUCUAUCUACUGGAAUUAUUUUCAACCUGUCCCCAAAUAACAAUAUUUCAGAGGCUUUGAAAAAAUUCGGUAUCUCAGCAAAUGACACUUCAGUUCUAAUUGUUUACAUUGAAGAUGGAGAAAAACAAAUAGAUAAAGAAGACCUGAUAGCUAAGGUAGAAGGUCAGCAAGUUUCCCUGAAAAAUCUUCCUGAAAUAACAAAUAUUACAGAAGUCAAAAAGAUAUAUAAACUAUCUUCACAAGAAGAAAGGAUUGGGACAUUAUUGGAUGCUGUCAUUUGUAGAAUGUCAACAAAAGAUGUUUUGUGAAAUGUCAGAAACAUUAAAAAUGUUCAGCAUUUAU